AAGAAAGAAAAAGAAGAAGAAGGCUGUGUCGUGUUGUUCGGGCCGCAUCUUGGCCCUUCCCCGGCCGCGCCGCCGCCCCCCAUCCUCACCGUCGUCGCUGCCGCGCGUCCCUUCCCCUCCUCCGCCCGUGUGGCGCCUUCGCACCGCCGCCGUCGGUAUAAUUCCUCUUUCCCUUAUCGUAGUCUGACCAAUCUCUGGAAUCCACAAGCUUGGUGGUGGUGGGGGCCAUGGCCGACGCCGACGAGCUCGGCAGGAGGCUCGCCGCCGUCGCGGUCUCCGACUCCGACAGCGCAAACAACAACCUCUUCCAGGUGAUGCGCGCCGUGGAGGACGCCGAGGCCACCAUCCGGCAGCAGCUGGAGGAGAACAGCCGCCUCAAGGACGAGCUCAUGCUCAAGACGCGAGAGCUUGACAGAUUCAGGUCAGAGGCUACCAAGCCCACUUCUCUUGCCGACACCUUUUCAACUUCUCCCCAUGGGACCUCAACAUGCUUCGGUACCACUUCCUCGUCGCUCAAUUCCAGGACCGCUCUAGCUGAUCAGCACAAUGGACUCUUUCACCACACUGACCAAAUGCUGCACGAUGCCAUCAAGCUAAAGUACCUAGAUACCGACCAGUCUAAUGGAAUGCCCAGGAAACUAUCUGGGGAGCAGAGUGCGCCCGAGAGUCGUGUGCCGUCGCACCUCUCUACUCCGUCAUCUCGCUCCCUGUCUCCAACUAGGCAUCGCAAAGGAGAGUAUGAUCCUAAGUUCAAUCUACCUGGACAGUGCUUAUUGCCUGCUUCAGAGGCAAACUCUACCAUCAUGUGGAAACAGGAUCUUCUUGCUAAGGUUAAAGAACAUGAAGAAGAGAUCGCACAGCUCAGAAGGCAUCUUGCUGACUACUCUGUGAAGGAAGCACAAAUACUCAACGAGAAACAUGUUUUGGAAAAACGCAUUGCAUACAUGCGAAUGGCAUUCGAUCAGCAGCAACAAGAUUUGGUUGAUGCUGCAUCAAAAGCUUUAUCCUACAGACAAGACAUUAUUGAAGAAAAUAUCCGUCUGACAUAUGCCUUACAGGCAGCACAUCAGGAGAGAUCCACUUUUGUAUCUUCUUUAUUGCCUCUUUUGACAGAAUAUAACCUUCAGCCUUCUGUUCUUGAUGCUCAAUCAAUUGUUAGCAAUCUGAAGGUCCUGUUUAAGCAUUUGCAAGAGAAACUCGCUAUUACUGAGGAGAAACUGAAAGAAUCACAAUACCAGCUUACACCUUGGCGAGCUGAAUCUUCAAACAGUACAAAUAUUCCUGUGCAGGCGCCUUCUCAUCCUCCUGGAAAUGCAAUAGUUACCACUAGCAAAGCCAACCUUGACAUUGUGCCCCAGCAAGCAUAUUCUCAUGUACAAUCUCCUAUGUCCUCUCCUGUUCGUGCUAGACGUGAUUGGGAUCUGUUGGGGAAUGAGAACCAUCAGGCUAUCCCAAGUGAGGUUACUGCAGUAAAUACAGAGCAUGAAAAUGUUGGAACCACCUCUCCGUCAAGCAGCAACCAAAUUAAGAAGGAUGUAGUAGCUCAAGGAACUGAACAUGAUUCUCGUGCUGUCCGAUUUAACUUUGAAUCCAAGAAUCAGAAUCCGUCAUUCAAGGACCUCGUUAGGAAUGAUGUCCCAGAAAAUCUGGAGGGAGCUGAAACGCAUAUUUCACAAGAACCUCCUGCACAAUGGGGUCCGGAGGGCUCACCUAAUUUGGCAUCUGGUGUUGAUGAUGCGAACCCGCCAUACCCUUAUCUUCCUACUGUCCUUGAAGAGCCUAGUUCUUCUUUCUCUGAAGCUGCAGAUGAUGACCCACUACCAGCCAUAGAAGGGCUACGAAUCACAGGUGAAGCUUUUCCUGGAAGAGAGCUUCAAGCAAGUGGCUACUCUAUCAAUGGGACCACAAGUUGUAAUUUUGAGUGGGUACGGCAUUUGGAGGAUGGAUCAGUAAAUUACAUAGAAGGUGCAAAGCAGCCUUCUUAUUUAGUUACUGCUGAUGAUGUGGACUCUUUACUAGCCAUUGAAGUCCAACCUCUAGAUGACCGGAAAAGAAAGGGGGAGAUCGUGAAGGUUUAUGCCAAUGAACAAAAAAAGAUUACUUGUGAUCCUGAAACAAAGGAGCUCAUCAAGAAAAUUCUUUCAAUUGGGCAUGUAUCCUAUGAAGUUCUGCUGCCUGUUAGGUUUCUAGAUAUGUGGGAACCAGCUGUAUUGGCAAUAAAGAGGGAAGGUUACAGCAUUAAGUGUAAUGGCCAGCGUGGUGUUGUUAUUACAGAAAAAUUCCAGCAAGCCACUGCUAUCAAUAUCCCAUAUGGGCGUCCUACUGAAUUUUCUAUAUUGGCUGCUGAUGGUGCUGAAUACAAUCUCAAGCCUGCAGAGAAUGCGCCAUCACGAGAUACCAUUGUUCUAAUCUUGAGGCUGUUCAGAAUGAAGUGCACACUCUGUUAGUUAAUCACGGAGCAUGGGAUUCUCAAGGAUUGAUGGUUAGUUUACAAUCCCAAGUUUGUUGGAGUGGGAAGUGCCUAGUAAGGGCCGACCAGAAACCACCACCUGCAACCUAGCCAUAACAGUGGCAGUUGAGAAGAGUAAAGGAAGAAGGAAGGGCAUAUUCUUCAAGUAGAUUGUUGCUGCUGGCAGUUUGUAAUUGGAUUCCAUGGUGUUUGUUGUUUCUUGUAUGUAUGUAGAGGGAGCUCGAAUUUGAGAGUUGAGUCCGCUGUUGUAAAGGAUUCGUCGUCAUUCGUUCAAUUCAUAGGCUCAAAUUUUGUUGUAAAGCAAGCUGAAGGAACGAUGUUGCAAACAAAAUACUCGUGCAUUUUGGCAUGGCUAAGUGCAGUUGAAUUUGUAUGUAUAUCA
This is an RNA transcript of Oryza sativa Japonica Group (Japanese rice), 2852 nucleotides long. RefSeq lists it as uncharacterized. The record is from RefSeq and is a predicted model, not a curated record. NCBI's taxonomy places the organism in Eukaryota, Viridiplantae, Streptophyta, Magnoliopsida, Poales, Poaceae.